RNAcentral lists this ribosomal RNA (251 nucleotides) under uncultured bacterium. RNAcentral describes it as "partial 16S ribosomal RNA". It matches the Rfam family "Bacterial small subunit ribosomal RNA", at positions 57 to 305 of the family's 1533-position model. The record is from RNAcentral.
GCAAGUCGAGCGGUAACAGGGGCGCUUGCGCCCGCUGACGACCGGCGCACGGGUGAGUAACACGUAUGCAACCUACCUUUUACAGGAGAAUAACCCAGAGAAAUUUGGACUAAUACUCCAUAACGUUUGUUAAUCGCAUGAUUGACAAAUUAAAGCUCCGGCGGUAAAAGAUGGGCAUGCGUCCUAUUAGUUAGUUGGUAAGGUAAUGGCUUACCAAGACUAUGAUAGGUAGGGGUUCUGAGAGGACAAUC